RNAcentral lists this small RNA (1177 nucleotides) under Histoplasma capsulatum. Its description in RNAcentral is "hypothetical RNA". RNAcentral also lists the same sequence under 1 other name. The record is from RNAcentral. Lineage: Eukaryota; Fungi; Ascomycota; Eurotiomycetes; Onygenales; Ajellomycetaceae.
CUAGCAUUAAGCUUUCGGACAAUAAUACAUACACCGUCAGCUAUCAGGACGCAGGCGUUGAUGGUGGUAAUAGCUUUUCUGUCGAGCAAGAAACAUUUGACCAUGUCGUCAUCGCGAACCCAUAUCAAUUCUCGAAUAUCUCUUUGUCUCCCCCACCAAAACGGCCGCUUCAUUCUCCGCGCUACGUUGACCUGCACGUCACCAUUUUUGCCUCCCCCUAUAAACUCUCACCGGAAUAUUUCAAAAUGCCCAGCGGCUCCUCAGUCCCCGAAGCUGUUCUCACAACAUUGCCCGCCAACGUCAAGCUAGGCGCCCGCACUGAUGGUGUCGGCCCGGCUCAAUUCUGGAGCAUCAGCACGCUGAAAAAGGUGGAGGCACCAGCCAAUUCUCUCCAGGAUGGCAUUUCAGGUGACUCUUAUUAUGUAUACAAGGUUUUCUCGCCAAAGCCGCUGAAGGCAAAUUUUGUAUCUGACAUUCUCGGAAUCGACGAGGCACGUAUGUUCGGCAACAGCAGCAGCAGCAGCAGUGAAACCAGCUAUACUGCGGACCAGCGCAUAGCGGAUAUCUCCAAGUCUCACAUCAGCUGGUACUAUGAGAAAGUGUGGCAGUCGUACCCAUACCUGUACCCGCGGGUGACGUUUGAAGAUAUAAAACUGGCGCCUAAUCUAUGGUAUACCAACGGGAUGGAGAGCUUUAUAUCGACGAUGGAGACUAGUUCGUUAUCUGGGAUGAAUGUUGCCGGGUUGAUAUUGUCUGAGUGGGUUUCAAAGUUUGAGACGAAGCUGAAGAAGUUCGAGGACGGCGUUGGGCUCUAAACUUUUGUUCUAAUUCACUUCGUCUCGUCUUUUUCGCCAGGAUUUGGAGUGUACGGGGUUACAGGAACGGGAAAGACAUCAAGGUGUUUUCUUCAGUUCAUGGUUAAUAAUGAUUUCUUUCUCUUUGUUUUGGGAAGAAGGGGUCUUCUGGGGCGAUGUCUUUCAUUUCUCGUUGUAGUAGCGGAUGUCAUCCUUGGUUAGUAGUUAGCUAUUUUUAUUCUUAGAUUUGGCCCUAUGAUCCACUUUUCCUCCGGGGUGACGAAAGGCGUUGGAUCACCUGAAAUCGUCAUCAUCAUUAUCACCGUUAUCACUAUCACCGGCAUUCAUGACCAUUAUUACCAUCCAUGACCAAAGAACAAAGC